RNAcentral lists this transfer RNA (77 nucleotides) under Clostridia bacterium. Its description in RNAcentral is "tRNA-Gly". It matches the Rfam family "tRNA". Rfam says of the family: Transfer RNA (tRNA) molecules are approximately 80 nucleotides in length. Their secondary structure includes four short double-helical elements and three loops (D, anti-codon, and T loops). Lineage: Bacteria; Bacillati; Bacillota; Clostridia. The record is from RNAcentral.
GCGGGCGUCGUUUCAGCUGGCAAGACCCCAGAUUUCCAAUCUGGAGACCGAGGGUUCGAUCCCCUUCGCCCGCUCCA